Molecule: ribosomal RNA, 497 nt
Filed under: uncultured bacterium
Lineage: Bacteria
Description: partial 16S ribosomal RNA
Rfam family: Bacterial small subunit ribosomal RNA
Source: RNAcentral
GACGAACGCUGGCGGCGUGCCUAAUACAUGCAAGUUGAGCGCUGAAGGUUGGUACUUGUACCAACUGGAUGAGCAGCGAACGGGUGAGUAACGCGUGGGGAAUCUGCCUUUGAGCGGGGGACAACAUUUGGAAACGAAUGCAAAUACCGCAUAAAAACUUUAAACACAAGUUUUAAGUUUGAAAGAUGCAAUUGCAUCACUCAAAGAUGAUCCCGCGUUGUAUUAGCUAGUUGGUGAGGUAAAGGCUCACCAAGGCGAUGAUACAUAGCCGACCUGAGAGGGUGAUCGGCCACAUUGGGACUGAGACACGGCCCAAACUCCUACGGGAGGCAGCAGUAGGGAAUCUUCGGCAAUGGACGAAAGUCUGACCGAGCAACGCCGCGUGAGUGAAGAAGGUUGUCGGAUCGUAAAACUCUGUUGGUAGAGAAGAACGUUGGUGAGAGUGGAAAGCUCAUCAAGUGACGGUAACUACCCAGAAAGGGACGGCUAACUACGUG